Molecule: long non-coding RNA, 863 nt
Filed under: Homo sapiens (human)
Lineage: Eukaryota; Metazoa; Chordata; Mammalia; Primates; Hominidae
Description: non-protein coding LINC01765:10
Source: RNAcentral
GAAAGUUUAUACCUGCUUGUGGGGACAUGAGUGAAGAAAGAGAGGGGACUUUGAAACAAGAGAAGAGAGCAAACUCAAAAGGUAACUGUUUGUUUUCAUAGGACCCUAUGGGAACAACUAGCCCAUUUUUGUUUUCACUCGUGCAGCCAGUUGGGGGAAGGAGAGGAACAUAACUCAUCCAGGUCUGAGGUCUAAGUCUGAAUAUUUAUUGUGCCUCACAGAUGAUCCCCAUUUGAAUCAUCCAAAUUAGGAAAGAGUUUAAAAAAUUACUGAGUAAUAGUCUGGCAGAAUUUUAAUGUGACUUCUCUUGUUGACUUUAAGGUUUAACAGAGGCCCCAAAGGCUGAGAGCAAAAUUGUAGGUACUUAAGUACCUUUACAUUCUAAAGCAAGGUGCAAGAUUGUCUAUAUUAGUCAGACAUUAUAUAUUCAUAUAAGAGAUUUAUUAUAAGGGGUUUUUCAUGGCAGCAUGUGACAAGAUGAUGCUGAAAAAUUUAUAUGGAAAUUCAAAGGAUCAAGAAUAGCUGAAACAUCACUGAAGAAGAACAAAGUGGGCUGAACUCGCUCUACUAGAUAUCAAGAUUUAUAAGCAACUACAGUAUUUAGGACAGUGUAGUAUCGGCACUGGGAGAGAAAAAAAAAAAAAAAAACUAAAAGGAAAAAGAGCCCAGAGACUGACUUUUGUGUAUGUGGACAGUUUGUUUAUGAUGAAAGUACCACUGCUAUGCACUGUGGGAAAAUGUCCUCAAAGAAUGACACUAGGGCAACUGGGUAUCCCCAUGUAAAAACAAUUAACCCUAAUCUCACAUCACACACAAAAAUCAACUCCAUUUGGGGUAUAUACUUAAAUGGAAGGUAAAACUAU